This 366-nucleotide ribosomal RNA is filed under the name uncultured bacterium. RNAcentral's name for it is "bacterial SSU rRNA". It matches the Rfam family "Bacterial small subunit ribosomal RNA", at positions 527 to 891 of the family's 1533-position model. The record is from RNAcentral.
GGGGGGGGCAAGCGUUGUUCGGAAUUACUGGGCGUAAAGGGCUUGUAGGUGGCCAACUAAGUCAGACGUGAAAUCCCCCGGCUUAACCGGGGAACUGCGUCUGAUACUGGAUGGCUAGAGUUUGGGAGAGGGAUGCGGAAUUCCAGGUGUAGCGGUGAAAUGCGUAGAUAUCUGGAGGAACACCGGUGGCGAAGGCGGCAUCCUGGACCAACACUGACACUGAAAAGCGAAAGCCAGGGGAGCAAACGGGAUUAGAUACCCCGGUAGUCCUGGCCCUAAACGAUGAAUGCUUGGUGUGGCGGGUAUCGAUCCCUGCCGUGCCGAAGCUAACGCAUUAAGCAUUCCGCCUGGGGAGUACGGUCGCAA